CAAGAUGAGAUUUCCCAUGGCGUAAGCCAGUAAGACCCCUUAGAGAUGAUGAGGUUGAUAGGUCAGAAGUGGAAGCGUGGCGACACGUGGAGCGGACUGAUACUAAUCGGUCGAGGACUUAUCCUA
Molecule: ribosomal RNA, 126 nt
Filed under: Shouchella clausii
Lineage: Bacteria; Bacillati; Bacillota; Bacilli; Caryophanales; Bacillaceae
Description: partial 23S ribosomal RNA
Rfam family: Bacterial large subunit ribosomal RNA
Source: RNAcentral